RNAcentral lists this unclassified non-coding RNA (290 nucleotides) under uncultured fungus. Its description in RNAcentral is "partial contains small subunit ribosomal RNA, internal transcribed spacer 1, and 5.8S ribosomal RNA". The stretch from base 1 to 73 matches the Rfam family "Eukaryotic small subunit ribosomal RNA", at positions 1759 to 1831 of the family's 1831-position model. The record is from RNAcentral. Lineage: Eukaryota; Fungi.
UCAAACUUGGUCAUUUAGAGGAAGUAAAAGUCGUAACAAGGUCUCCGUUGGUGAACCAGCGGAGGGAUCAUUACAGAGUUGCAAAACUCCCUAAACCAUUGUGAACGUUACCUAAACCGUUGCUUCGGCGGGCGGCCCGGGUCUCUCCCGGCGCCCCUCGGCCCUCGCGGGCGCCCGCCGGAGGUAAACCAAACUAUUGAAUUGUAUGGCCUCUCUGAGUCUUCUGUACUGAAUAAGUCAAAACUUUCAACAACGGAUCUCUUGGUUCUGGCAUCGAUGAAGAACGCAGC